GGAAGGGUGGCUGAGCGGUUGAAAGCACCGGUCUUGAAAACCGGCGAGGUAGUAAUACCUCCGUGGGUUCAAAUCCCACCCCUUCCGCCA
This 90-nucleotide transfer RNA is filed under the name Gammaproteobacteria bacterium. Its description in RNAcentral is "tRNA-Ser". It matches the Rfam family "tRNA". From Rfam's summary of the family: Transfer RNA (tRNA) molecules are approximately 80 nucleotides in length. Their secondary structure includes four short double-helical elements and three loops (D, anti-codon, and T loops). Further hydrogen bonds mediate the characteristic L-shaped molecular structure. tRNAs have two regions of fundamental functional importance: the anti-codon, which is responsible for specific mRNA codon recognition, and the 3' end, to which the tRNAs corresponding amino acid is attached (by aminoacyl-tRNA synthetases). tRNAs cope with the degeneracy of the genetic code in two manners: having more than one tRNA (with a specific anti-codon) for a particular amino acid; and 'wobble' base-pairing, i.e. permitting non-standard base-pairing at the 3rd anti-codon position. Lineage: Bacteria; Pseudomonadati; Pseudomonadota; Gammaproteobacteria. The record is from RNAcentral.